GGACUACUAGGGUAUCUAAUCCCGUUUGCUCCCCUGGCUUUCGCGCCUCAGCGUCAGAAGAGGCCCAGCGCGCCGCUUUCGCCACCGGUGUUCCUUCCGAUAUCUACGCAUUUCACCGCUCCACCGGAAGUUCCGCGCGCCCCUACCUCCCUCGAGGCGGGCAGUAUCCAAGGCCCUUGUGCGGUUGAGCCGCACGCUUUCACCCCGGACUUGCCCGCCCGCCUACGCGCCCUUUAAGCCCAGUGAAUCCGAACAACGUUCGCACGGUUCGUCUUACCGCGGCUGCUGGCAC
This 292-nucleotide ribosomal RNA is filed under the name uncultured bacterium. RNAcentral's name for it is "partial 16S ribosomal RNA". The record is from RNAcentral. RNAcentral also lists the same sequence under 1 other name.